Molecule: long non-coding RNA, 534 nt
Organism: Danaus plexippus (monarch butterfly)
Lineage: Eukaryota; Metazoa; Arthropoda; Insecta; Lepidoptera; Nymphalidae
Exons: 2
Source: RefSeq, a predicted model, not a curated record
CGACGUUUCGGUUACUUUGCAGCAACCGUGAUCACGGUAGUAGUUUUUAAAUAAUAAAAUCCGCGUAGUAAAUCCGAAUAAUACUAGUUUCAUUUAAAUGAAUACUCGCGAAAAUCUUAGAUCUCAUCAAAUACAUGAUAGUUUUCUAAUGAAUCGGAAGAUCCUAAUGCUCUUGGUUAGUCCAAUGUCAAUGUAUUAGAACAUUAACGUCCUUUAAAUAGUGUGAGAUGUGAUUGCUGAAUAUCAUUAGGCGUGCUAUCAAGUGCCGAGUAUAUUGUAUUAUAAUAACUAAAUAUGAAGUUCUCAUUAGUGUGCGUGUUGUUGAUGUCUGUGUUUAUGUUGUUUAUUACACAGAGCUCUGCCAACCCUAGAGUUAACUUCGGAGCUAUUAAGAAAGGCCUCGGUAUUCUGAGCGCGGCGGGAACGGCUGAGAACAUAUACGAGGAGUGGAAACACAGACACGGAUAAAGAAACACAAAAUUGUUAGAUUGAAAAUUCCACUAAUAUGAUUUUAAUAAAGAAUUUCUUUGGCUA